Arachis ipaensis is the source of this 2505-nucleotide non-coding RNA. The record is from RefSeq and is a predicted model, not a curated record. Lineage: Eukaryota; Viridiplantae; Streptophyta; Magnoliopsida; Fabales; Fabaceae.
UAAUUUUCCUAUUUCGAUCACAGGGUUUAGGCACCACUGGCUGUAAGCCCCCCACAAAACCACAAACCAAACGAAAAACCCUGCGCCACCUCUUCCACCAUCAUCAUGGCACGGAUUGCCAGGUCCUCUGCGCCGCGCCUACUCUACACCUUCUUCUCCUCCUCCGUGCCCCCGGCAUCCCCAUCGCCAUCUCCGUCUCCGGCGUCGUCCCUCCUUGCCGGUGCAUUCCACCUGCGGCACUUCUCGUCGGGCAACGCUGCUCGAGCGAGGGCGGCGGCGGCGGACAAGGAGCCAUGGUGGAAGGAGUCCAUGGAGCGGUUACGCAACAUCGGGAUCUCUGCUCACAUCGACUCCGGCAAGACAACUUUGACGGAGCGAGUGCUUUUCUACACUGGUCGUAUCCACGAGAUCCACGAGGUUCGGGGCAGAGACGGCGUCGGCGCCAAGAUGGAUUCCAUGGACUUGGAGGAGGGAGAACGUAUCACUAUCCAGUCUGCUGCUACUUACUGCUCUUGGAAAGACUAUAAGAUUAACAUAAUUGACACACCUGGUCACGUUGAUUUCACCAUUGAAGUUGAGAGGGCUUUGCGUGUCCUUGAUGGUGCUAUUCUUGUACUUUGUAGUGUUGGUGGUGUGCAAAGUCAGUCCAUCACAGUAGAUCGACAAAUGAGAAGAUACGAGGUUCCAAGACUUGCAUUUAUUAACAAGCUUGAUCGGAUGGGAGCAGAUCCAUGGAAAGUUUUAAAUCAGGCACGAUCUAAGCUUCGGCAUCAUAGUGCUGCAAUGCAAGUUCCGAUAGGCUUGGAGGAUGAUUUUGAGGGACUUGUUGAUCUUGUGCAAUUAAAAGCAUACUAUUUUCGGGGUUCUAAUGGUGAAAAAGUUGUCACUGAAGAGGUGCCUGCAGAUAUGGAAGCCUUGGUAGCAGAAAAAAGGCGUGAGCUCAUAGAAGCUGUGUCAGAAGUUGAUGAUCAACUUGCUGAAGCUUUUCUUGGUGAUGAGCCCAUAUCACCUGCUGACCUUCAGGAAGCAAUUCGUAGGGCCACCAUAGCACGGAAGUUUGUACCUGUGUUCAUGGGUAGUGCUUUUAAAAAUAAGGGAGUACAGCCACUUCUGGAUGGUGUACUUAAUUAUUUGCCAUGUCCAAUUGAAGUUAGUAGUUAUGCCCUUGACCAAACAAAGAAUGAGGAAAAGGUUGAGUUGACUGGAAGUCCUGAUGGGCCACUUGUAGCGUUGGCAUUUAAGUUGGAGGAAGGGCGGUUUGGCCAGUUGACAUAUUUAAGAAUUUACGAGGGUGUGAUCCGCAAGGGCGAGUUUAUUAUUAAUGUAAACACCGGCAAGAAGAUCAAGGUUCCUCGCUUAGUUAGGAUGCAUUCUGAUGAGAUGGAGGACAUUCAAGAGGCUCAUGCAGGGCAAAUAGUUGCUGUAUUUGGUGUUGAUUGUGCAUCAGGAGAUACGUUUACUGAUGGAUCAGUUAAAUACACAAUGACUUCCAUGAAUGUUCCUGAACCUGUAAUGUCAUUAGCUGUACAGCCAGUUUCAAAAGAUUCUGGAGGGCAAUUUUCAAAAGCUUUGAAUCGCUUCCAGAAAGAGGAUCCUACAUUCCGUGUUGGUUUAGACCCAGAGAGUGGGCAGACUAUCAUUUCUGGCAUGGGAGAACUACAUUUAGAUAUUUAUGUUGAACGUAUUCGGAGAGAGUAUAAGGUUGAUGCAACUGUUGGAAAGCCCCGUGUAAACUUCAGAGAAACUGUUACACAACGUGCUGAUUUUGAUUAUUUACACAAGAAGCAAUCUGGAGGGCAAGGUCAAUAUGGACGGGUAAUCGGUGAAUUCACUGUGUUUGCAGGUAUAUUGAACCACUUCCGGCAGGAUCACCAACUAAAUUCGAAUUUGAAAACCUCCUUGUUGGGCAAGCUAUUCCAUCAGGUUUUAUCCCUGCAAUUGAAAAAGGUUUUAAGGAGCCGCCAACUCGGGGGCUUUAAUUGGACAUCCUGUCGAAAAUCUUAGAGUUGUCUUGACAGAUGGUGCUGCUCAUGCUGUUGAUUCUAGUGAACUUGCAUUUAAGUUGGCUUCUAUCUAUGCUUUCAGACAGUGCUAUACAGCUUCCAGGCCAGUUAUAUUAGAACCUGUUAUGCUUGUUGAGCUGAAAGUACCAACAGAAUUCCAAGGAGCCGUUGCUGGUGACAUUAACAAGAGAAAAGGUGUUAUUGUUGGCAAUGAUCAGGAAGGAGAUGACUCUAUCAUCACUGCCCAUGUCCCUCUUAACAAUAUGUUUGGGUAUUCUACAGCUCUUCGUUCAAUGACCCAGGGGAAAGGUGAGUUCACAAUGGAAUACAAGGAGCAUUCACCUGUAUCUCAUGAGGUACAGACGCAAUUAAUAAACUCCUACAAGGGCAAGGCGGCCGAAUGAUCAGGUUUCGUCGAAGAACAUGGUCCUAAAACCUGGGACAAUCAUUUUUCAUGGAAGGAAGAAAUUAAAUUGUAUCAAUUAUAUAAGGUAUAUAGGUU